Molecule: long non-coding RNA, 2936 nt
Organism: Monodelphis domestica (gray short-tailed opossum)
Lineage: Eukaryota; Metazoa; Chordata; Mammalia; Didelphimorphia; Didelphidae
Source: RefSeq, a predicted model, not a curated record
UUGAUUUCUGUGGUUUGACUAUAGAACCCAAACUGGCUCCCACCAGCAAUGGAGAAUCAGGAGACGGUGGAGUGGGGUUGUCUCUGUGAGCUCCAGCGACUCUCUCCUUCCUCUGGGAUCACAGAAUCCAUCUACCAAAGGGGUAAAGCACCAACGAUGCUAAGGACUGCUGUUCUCCACCUGGGAGUUGACUAAAAUGAACGAUCUCUCGGAUUUGUCCAUAGCUUGGAAAAAGGCUUCUUUAAAAAAUUGUGGGAAGGGGCAGCUAGGUGAUUCAGUGAGAGCCAGACCUAAAGAAGGAGGUCAUCAGGUCCUAGCUGUGUGACCCUGGGAAAAAAACAACAAUAUAACAGAUUGGUACAUUGAGAAAGUUUGAAAAUGUGCAAUGCGUAACUUAUAUCUGUGGACUUCCUCCCUCUGCCAAAGGCAUCAAGGAUUCCAGAAGGAGAACCUGGAUUGUAAAUCAUGGAUCUAGAAUCAGAUGAAGCCUCAGAAAUCAUCUGGUCCAACCUUAUCACUUUCCACAAGAGGAAACAGGGAUUCCAAGAAGGUUUCUCAUCUGGCUAAAAAGAGAAGUAGCUAAACAGUUUGGCUCCCGAAGCCUCCAAGGAGUGAUUCCCUAGUUCCUUCCUCACGGGCAUCUGCCCCACUUUCUGAUUCUGAAGGAUUGCUUAAGAGUUUACUGGAUCCAUCUUUAUCUUAGAAAACAAUGGCACCAAUCUCACUUUCUUCUUUAAAGGGCUUCCUUAUUUUUUCAGUUUCUAGAAAGUGUUUGUAAAAGAAAGUUCAUUUAAGAGUCUCUCUGAAUAAACAAGCAUCAGUGGCCUCAGAUCCCAGCAGCCUGGGUCUCAAACCAGCCCUCUAUUGCUUGUGAGAGGGAAAAUGAAAGAAAACACCAGCUUAGAAUUCACAAUUUGUUCUACUCCCAUUUUAGGGAGACGAAUUUCCACAUAAACCUGCUCACAAAUACACACCAACGUGCACAAAUAUCCACACAGCCAUGGGGAAAAAUAUACUGUAAAAACCGUCUUGUUGAGUUUAUAAUCCAGUGUAACUUACUGAGUGCUGAUAAGUAAAGGAAGUUCAACCAGACAGUUUAAUCCUCCAAUUUCCUGUCUUCUAAUCAGCCCCUGACUCUUUGGAUUUUAAAUUAGAACCAUUCCUUAAAUGAUAUUCGGGACAGGUGAAGGAAAGAGAGAGGAGAAAAUCAGCCAGGACAAAGCUUAUAUUUUCCCAUCUAAAGUUCACAGGCGAAACAUGAGGGUAGGAACAGGAAAUAAAGAUGUUUAAAAAGAUAGCCCCAAUACAUGGACCCAGCCUAGCACAUUUCUGAGGACGUUACUUUGGGCUGAUGUGGAUUUGAUUUCUAAAAACCAACCACAAAAUAGACAUAUAAUUGAAAGGGCUGUUUCCCUCUGCCUUCCUUCCCCCAAAGUGAGCAUUACUGCUAAAAAACGUCCCAGAGCCUUGGCUCAGAACAAUAGAAAAUGAUUGUUUUAUUAGACAGAGUGUGAGAAAAAAAAGAAAUUGUAGGAAGCGAUUGUUUGCCAAUUGAAAAGUACCUCCAAUGGUGUCUACUCCAGCGGGUUUAUACUUUUACUAAUCAUUGUAUACAGCCACAUGCAUUUAUAAAUGGAGCUGGAAUAAGAAACCAUAGAUAUAUUUUGAAUGGUCACAUAUGGAGACAUUUCACUCAAAAGAAAUGUCUAAAAAUUGCCUUCUGCGUUCUAACGUGAAAUAGAAAUUAAAAACAAUUUUUUAAGUUAAAAAAAAUUUUUUUUAAACUUGUUCAGAGUGUAUCCUCCCCCUUGGAAGAGUUUAGUCAGGUUUCAGAGGCCCAAGUCCUGCUCAUGUUGACACUUCUCCUAGUUAGCUGGCGAUUAUAGAACACCCUUUCCGGCCUCCAGCUAUUUUGACCAAUAUCUUGAAAGAGAUGGGGCAAAGCGAGGAGAAAAAAGGUCACUCCACCCUGCAUGUAAGCAUUGUUCAGCUCAGAGCUGACACAUUGAAAAUGAAGAUUGUAAACACAACUUCCAAGAUGAAUUGAAAAUAUCCAUCAAAGGCGGGAAAAGGAUCCCAAUGAAAUAUGAGUUCUUAGCUAUGCAUCAGUGAGGCUGCCAUUCAUUCUGCAACUUUGCUGGAGCUGCUGAGGGAUUUAUUGGAAUUGUCAAACUUGGCCUAAAGAUAAUUCACCGAAACAUCUUGUAAGCUUUCUAAAUGGUAGCAACUGUCCUGGGUACCGGAGGGACGCCUUUCUUGACCAAGGAGCUCCCUGAGGAAAAUUGUGCCCUGAGAAUCUGGAUGGAAAGAUGGAUGGCUCUUGAUAGAAAAAAAGACUUCUGGUGACAACAUUUCUCAAAUAAAUGCCAAGGGUCCUAAUAGCAGUUAGGGGAACGGAAGAAGUAAUUCCACAGACUACAUUCCUGCCCACUAUGAUUUUCCCCCUCUUCUUUUGACUGCCGACCAGUAAAUGGUGUUUUGAGAUCAAUUUGUCCCAUAGACCUUGUUAGCAAUCAAGGAAUGGGUGCAUAUGUGGAGAUAUUGACUUUCCUCGAAUAUUUUUGUGUCUGGCAUAUAGGACUCACUCAAAGAAAUAAAGGAUCUGUUAGUGCAAAAUUUCCUCAGCAGCAGGCUUUGUAGCCCAGGCAAUUAAUGUGUCAUUUGCAAACGUGGAAAGUGGAGGGGGAUCUCGGGGAGGUUUUCUCUAUUUUCCUGUCGAGGAGGUUUCAGGGAGAGAUGUCACAACAUCGUUAGGCUAAAUUGAUACGUAAUAUCUAUUUCUUGAUUCGCGUGAUUAAAGCAUUAGAGGGGAGGCUCAGAUUUCAAAAGAUUUCUCAUAAGUGGCAGUGACGGAUGUAAUUAAUGUUAAAAUCUACACAUACCAAGAAGCCAGACUGUUAGUUAAAGACCAAGUUUGUUUACAAGGUUCUUGAAUG